CAAAAUGCUACAGUUAAAUGUAAAUUGCUUAGUCUGUAUAUUAGAUAAUGUGACAAAAUGUUAAAGAAUAAGAAAUGCAGGGAGCCACACAAGUUUUUAUUAGAAAUAAACAUGUACUUCCAACUGACAUUAAAAUGGUUUUCAACAGAAGUGAGGUUAAUAUCAUAGAUGAUCAUAGAUAAGGUUAAUAUCAACUAGCUGCAAAACCAAUCUGAACUGAAGAUAGCUGCGACUAGUUACCAAGGUCACCAGAAGCUUUGUCAUAUACAAGGUGCAUGCAAAAAGUUUAUCUACUAUAUUUUACGUUAUUAAUUUAAUAACAAAUAUAGACCUGUAUUUCUCAAAAUAAAUUUGAGAAUUCUGGAAUAGUUCCUUCAUAAAAAAUUGUCUACGCUUCUGUUUUCUACAAUUUUUCCAAAAUAUAUUUAAAAAAGUUUUAUUUAUACUCAGAAAUCUGAACAAGUAGAUAUUUAGUAUAGUAUGUCAUGUAAAUGGUAAGAAGAGAAAUACAUUAAAUAAAAAUAAUAAAAACCGGAUUACAAGUAUUAGGAACUUACCCGUUUUAUGUGAAUUCUACAUCUAGGAAUAAUGAAGCAUAAGGUCAUUUAAAAAUAAAGAAAUUAAUACAAAUAAUGCGCGGCUAACUAUUGGUUUUUAUUAAAAUACGUAGUUAAAGUACAUUACUGAAUAAUAAAAAAAACAAUAUACUUAUGUGUAUGUAUUUAUGACAAUGAAUUAUAUUCAUAAUCGUUUAUAAGGGACGAACACAAAAAAGUUGAACAAGUUAGACAGACGAGUGUAAAGUAAAUACGUGUGAUAAUCUCCGUUAUAUGUUUUAUGAGACUAACAUCUUAUAAGUUUAGGAUAAGCUGUGAAAAAAUAUGUUUGGUUAAUAUUACACCUUUUUCAUAUUAAUAUGUUUCCGGUGGAUUUACCACCACCUUACACCUGUGUUUCACUACCACACAUCGACUAUGAAUUUAUUAUUUCUUUUUUUCAUUUACGUUCUUUUGACUAUAGAUGUGCUCUUUCAUUUCUUUUCGUUUCAACGAUUACAGAGUACUAUAUACUUUAUUAUAUUUGUAUAUAUAUUUAUAUAUAAUAUAUUCUUGAAAUUACGAAAAAGUUGUCAAGUUAUCAUACUUCUUAUUAAUAUUACAACUGUCUAACAUAUGGAUUAUUAUUUUAUGCAUCAUUACAUGUACAUUAAAAACAUCCAUCUUAGAGCAAGAAAGUAUAAAAAUUUGCGUUCAUGCAAGUUUUUUUCAGGCACUGUUAGAUUUAAAAGAAAAACAUAUAGAACGAAAGUACAAAAAAAAUCCUUAGAAAUACCGAAUAUGUUUUUGAUAUGUACUGUGUAAAAAAUAUCUAAAUGAAAAGAAAUUAAUUAAAA
Agrilus planipennis (emerald ash borer) is the source of this 1393-nucleotide long non-coding RNA. RefSeq lists it as uncharacterized. The record is from RefSeq and is a predicted model, not a curated record. The transcript is spliced from 2 exons. Lineage: Eukaryota; Metazoa; Arthropoda; Insecta; Coleoptera; Buprestidae.